AUAUAUAUAGUGUAUAUAAAACCUUACAUUUUCAGUGUGAUAAUAAAAUAUUUUUUUUUUAUAUAUA
RNAcentral lists this transfer RNA (67 nucleotides) under Lymantria dispar (gypsy moth). RNAcentral describes it as "tRNA-Glu". The record is from RNAcentral. Lineage: Eukaryota; Metazoa; Arthropoda; Insecta; Lepidoptera; Erebidae.